UAAUCCCAACUCAGGGAGGUAGUGACAAGAAAUAACAACUUCGGGCUUGCCCGAGAUUGGAAUGAGUACAACGUACAAUCUUUAACGAGUACCAACUGGAGGGCAAGUCUGGUGCCAGCAGCCGCGGUAAUUCCAGCUCCAGUAGCGUAUACUAAAGUUGUUGCAGUUAAAAAGCUCGUAGUUGAAUUUCUGUGUAGUGUACUUGCGGUCUCCGGACCAAUAUAUACUGCACAUCCAUCUGAACAGCACUUCUUGUCAUUCAUUUGUCGGUUGUGUGAUCAGAUACUUUACCUUGAGAAAAAUAGAGUGUUCCAAGCAGGCGUCCGCCUGAAUAAUAAAGCAUGGAAUAAUACAAUAGGACUGGGUUCUAUUGGUGCAUAGAACUUAGUAAUGAUUAAUAGGGACAGUUGGGGGCAUUUGUAUUUAAUUGUCAGAGGUGAAAUUCUUUGAUUUAUUAAAGACAAACCUAUGCGAAAGCAUUUGCCAAGGAUGUUUUCAUUAAUCAAGAACGAAAGUUAAGGGAUCGAAGACGAUCAGAUACCGUCGUAGUCUUAACCAUAAACUAUGCCGACUAGAGAUUGGAGGUGCAAUCUCAAUACUCCUUCAGCAUCUUAGGAGAAAUCAAAGUCUUUGGGUUCUGGGGGUAGUAUGGUCGCAAGACUGAAACUUAAAGGAAUUGACGGAAGGGCACCACAAGGUGUGGAGCCUGCGGCUUAAUUUGACUCAACACGGGGAAACUUACCAGGUCCAGACAUGGGAAGGAUUGACAGAUUGGAGAUCUUUCUUGAUUCCAUGGAUGGUGGUGCAUGGCCGUUCUUAGUUGGUGGAGUGAUUUGUCAGGUUAAUUCCGAUAACGAACGAGACCUCAGCCU
Molecule: ribosomal RNA, 872 nt
Filed under: uncultured marine eukaryote
Lineage: Eukaryota
Description: SSU rRNA
Rfam family: Eukaryotic small subunit ribosomal RNA
Source: RNAcentral